RNAcentral lists this ribosomal RNA (911 nucleotides) under Pseudomonas veronii. Its description in RNAcentral is "bacterial SSU rRNA". It matches the Rfam family "Bacterial small subunit ribosomal RNA", at positions 37 to 943 of the family's 1533-position model. The record is from RNAcentral. Lineage: Bacteria; Pseudomonadati; Pseudomonadota; Gammaproteobacteria; Pseudomonadales; Pseudomonadaceae.
UGGCGGCAGGCCUAACACAUGCAAGUCGAGCGGUAGAGAGAAGCUUGCUUCUCUUGAGAGCGGCGGACGGGUGAGUAAUGCCUAGGAAUCUGCCUGGUAGUGGGGGAUAACGUUCGGAAACGGACGCUAAUACCGCAUACGUCCUACGGGAGAAAGCAGGGGACCUUCGGGCCUUGCGCUAUCAGAUGAGCCUAGGUCGGAUUAGCUAGUUGGUGAGGUAAUGGCUCACCAAGGCGACGAUCCGUAACUGGUCUGAGAGGAUGAUCAGUCACACUGGAACUGAGACACGGUCCAGACUCCUACGGGAGGCAGCAGUGGGGAAUAUUGGACAAUGGGCGAAAGCCUGAUCCAGCCAUGCCGCGUGUGUGAAGAAGGUCUUCGGAUUGUAAAGCACUUUAAGUUGGGAGGAAGGGCAGUUACCUAAUACGUGAUUGUUUUGACGUUACCGACAGAAUAAGCACCGGCUAACUCUGUGCCAGCAGCCGCGGUAAUACAGAGGGUGCAAGCGUUAAUCGGAAUUACUGGGCGUAAAGCGCGCGUAGGUGGUUAGUUAAGUUGGAUGUGAAAUCCCCGGGCUCAACCUGGGAACUGCAUUCAAAACUGACUGACUAGAGUAUGGUAGAGGGUGGUGGAAUUUCCUGUGUAGCGGUGAAAUGCGUAGAUAUAGGAAGGAACACCAGUGGCGAAGGCGACCACCUGGACUGAUACUGACACUGAGGUGCGAAAGCGUGGGGAGCAAACAGGAUUAGAUACCCUGGUAGUCCACGCCGUAAACGAUGUCAACUAGCCGUUGGGAGCCUUGAGCUCUUAGUGGCGCAGCUAACGCAUUAAGUUGACCGCCUGGGGAGUACGGCCGCAAGGUUAAAACUCAAAUGAAUUGACGGGGGCCCGCACAAGCGGUGGAGCAUGUG